This 299-nucleotide unclassified non-coding RNA is filed under the name Hevea brasiliensis (rubber tree). Lineage: Eukaryota; Viridiplantae; Streptophyta; Magnoliopsida; Malpighiales; Euphorbiaceae. The record is from RNAcentral.
CCUAAACCUAGGAUGAGCUUUUGGAUGAAGUAAUUGACUUGGUAGAUACUAUAGCAUGGUUCUCUGAAGAAUGCAAGACUGCAUGCAUUCAAUUAUCAUGAAUGUUUGUAAUGAAUUGGUUUGUUGUGAACCCAUUUUUUGGUCCUUUUGGUAAUGGCAUAAAGAAGCUAAUUUGUUAUGUGUGAAGUAAUUAUGCAGUACCAUUUAAACUUAACUUCAGUUUUAGAUAAAAUUGAGUAACAAUGAUUGUACUUUCUUACCUGCUUUAACUAUUUUGGAGCUCAAUUUGGUUUGGCAAA